RNAcentral lists this ribosomal RNA (422 nucleotides) under uncultured bacterium. RNAcentral describes it as "bacterial SSU rRNA". It matches the Rfam family "Bacterial small subunit ribosomal RNA", at positions 355 to 774 of the family's 1533-position model. The record is from RNAcentral. RNAcentral also lists the same sequence under 1 other name.
UGAGGAAUAUUGGUCAAUGGGCGCAAGCCUGAACCAGCCAUGCCGCGUGCAGGAUGACGGUCCUAUGGAUUGUAAACUGCUUUUGUACAGGAAGAAACAGUUCUACGUGUAGAACCUUGACGGUACUGUAAGAAUAAGGAUCGGCUAACUCCGUGCCAGCAGCCGCGGUAAUACGGAGGAUCCAAGCGUUAUCCGGAAUCAUUGGGUUUAAAGGGUCCGUAGGCGGUUUUGUAAGUCAGUGGUGAAAGCCCAUCGCUCAACGGUGGAACGGCCAUUGAUACUGCAAGACUUGAAUUAUUGGGAAGUAACUAGAAUAUGUAGUGUAGCGGUGAAAUGCUUAGAGAUUACAUGGAAUACCAAUUGCGAAGGCAGGUUACUACCAAUAUAUUGACGCUGAUGGACGAAAGCGUGGGGAGCGAACA